This 412-nucleotide RNase P RNA is filed under the name Alphaproteobacteria bacterium. RNAcentral's name for it is "RNase P RNA component class A". It matches the Rfam family "Bacterial RNase P class A". Rfam says of the family: Ribonuclease P (RNase P) is a ubiquitous endoribonuclease, found in archaea, bacteria and eukarya as well as chloroplasts and mitochondria. The record is from RNAcentral. Lineage: Bacteria; Pseudomonadati; Pseudomonadota; Alphaproteobacteria.
UCAGACGGCCGGAUGGCUGCUCUCGGCACCUGGGCUCGGCUCCGGCGCCGGGGGAGGAAAGUCCGGGCUCCACGGGAACACGGUGCCGGGUAACGCCCGGCGGGGGUGACCCUAGGGAAAGUGCCACAGAAAGCAAACCGCCGGCCGAAGCCCCCCCCGGGGCGAAGGCGGGUAAGGGUGAAAGGGUGCGGUAAGAGCGCACCGCGCCCCCGGCAACGGGGGCGGCACGGCAAACCCCACCGGGAGCAAGACCAAGUAGGGACGGCAGAUCGGUUUCGAUCGGGCGGGUUUCCGCGCCGCCGUCCGGGUAGGUCGCGCGAGGCGUCCGGCGACGGGCGUCCCAGAUGAAUGGCCAUCCAUCCGCGCGUUCGCGCGCGGGGGACAGAACCCGGCUUACAGGCCGUCUGACCGC